GGGGCACUGAGGGAAGUGGGGGCACUGAGGGGAUGCAUGCGCGGGGCAGUGAGGGACGUGGGGACGCUGAGACACAGACACAGGAAGCAUCAACUCUGAGGCUUUGGCCAGGAUAUGAGCCCGACUUUCGCAGCCCCAACUGGCAGGCUGACCUCAUGUGAACUCCCUGGCGGUGGCAUCCUGGAGACACCCACUUGGCUGAGCUGGCACCAUAGGCACUCAUAAUCUGGGUUCAGUUUCUGCCAGCACUGAUUUGGUUUAUUCCACAUGGCUUGGGCCACUGCGGGACUCCAUUUGUUCCAGGGCCACCUUCCUGUCACCUUUUACUGUUUCUUGAGUCAGCAAGAAAGGCAGAUCCGACUGAAGACUCCAGCACUCUCCUCAGCUGCAGCCCCCACAGAGCUCUGCAAAGUCCUUUCCCCCACAGGAUGGAUCUGAGGCACCCACCAUGAGAAAAAAGGGGUGGAGAAAUGAUAUGCAGGAAGAAGGUCCAUCCUGAUUCACCAGUCGCGUGGAUGCACUUUUCUACCAGGCUAGGAGGGAGGAAAGUGGAGCCCCACCCUGACUGCUAAGCCAUUUGCUUUGCUGUCACAAAAAAACAGUUCAGCUUCCCAAAUCAGAGAGGAAAAGAUUUUUAGGGGGUCCCUUAUUUCUAUUAUGUAAGCUUUAAAUAACAAAGUAGACCUCUGGGGCCAACGUGGGUGUGCGAUGGUGGUUUUGUGGGAUUCUCCCCAUAGCCCCAUCAGACGGCCUCACUUUCUGGGUCUCAGUGGGCCCAGGUGUGACACAGCUCCUCCAGAAACAACGACAGCCCUGGCGACCAAGGACUCCCUGUGCCACUGGCUUUGCGCUCAGAAGUAUAUUCAGUGGUUUCCCCAGAAAAUUCCAAGUCAUCUCCUAAUACUGUUCGUGAAAACUAA
Rhinopithecus roxellana (golden snub-nosed monkey) is the source of this 920-nucleotide long non-coding RNA. RefSeq lists it as uncharacterized. The record is from RefSeq and is a predicted model, not a curated record. NCBI's taxonomy places the organism in Eukaryota, Metazoa, Chordata, Mammalia, Primates, Cercopithecidae. The transcript has 3 exons.